Molecule: long non-coding RNA, 2392 nt
Filed under: Sipha flava (yellow sugarcane aphid)
Lineage: Eukaryota; Metazoa; Arthropoda; Insecta; Hemiptera; Aphididae
Description: uncharacterized LOC112683442, transcript variant X2
Source: RNAcentral
UUAAAAAUCAUACAAUUAGAAAACAUAAUAGCUUUUGGUUUACAGUAGUUUGAAUCAAGUAACUUUAAAUUUAAAAUGUUAAGCUACUAAGUUAAAAUUUCCUAUACUAAAUAGCUAAUUUCCUACAAGUCAUAAUAAAUAACAAUGAAUCUGUUUUUAAUAAUUGACUGUGUGCUUAUUAUGCAGUGAUGAAAAAAAAUGUUGCGAACAAAUCUUGUUCUAUUGAAACGACUAAUAUUUCAUCCAUUGACGUUGACAGUUUACCAUGCAUCAGUUACUGAAUUUCACUUAGUUGACAGCAGUCUUAAUUUGACAGAUCUUUACAAAACAAACGAUCAUCAAACUGAUUCAAUUUCAGAGUGCGAUAAUAAGAAUAUUUAUUAUCUAGGAAUUGAUCCAGUCAUGUAGGUAAUAGCUGAUAUUUUAAGAGAUUUUGUAUGUAGUUAUGGUUUCAAGAUCUGGAAAAUCUAAAUAUUUCCAAUUCUAAAAGAUCAUACACAAAUGUCUAAAAGGUGUCAAUAGAACUUUUUCAGAUACUUUAACAAAAAUUGUCUUCAAACAACUCUACAAAAUGGAGAAAAAAUAGCACGUAGUUACUUGGUCUAUUCAGAAAGCAAAGGAGCUCUUUUUUGUUAUCCUUGUAUGAUACUUGGUAAAGUAACUAAUUUUGCAACAACAGGAUUUUCGUUACGGAAAAAAACAAAAGAAUGAAUUAAAGAACAUAAUUAAUAAUAAUAAAUAAUUCAAUAAAGCAUCGAAACUGUAUAAUUAAAUUGAAAAACUAUAGCAAGGUAUAUUGCAGAAUUGAUCUGCAAUUAGAUAAUCAGAUUAAUGAUGAAUGAUUUUAUUGGAUAAAUGUUUUAAAGAGAGUAGUAUUAGUAGUCAAAUCAUUAGCGUCAAGAGGAUUGUCAUUUAGGGGUCAUGACUCAAAAAUAGGAAGUUCUCGUAAUGGAAAUUUUUUAAUGGGCUAAGAGUUAAUUGCCAAGUUUAAUUCAUUUCUUGCUACUCACUUCUCAAAAUAUGGUAAUCUCGGAAAAGGAAAAACUUCUUACACGUCAUAUCAAACUUAUGAACAGUUUAUUUAUAUUAUGGCUGAAGAAUCACAGAAAACCAUUAUCGAAGAAAUAAAAAUUGCCAGAUAUUAUUCUAUAAGUGAUGACUCGACACCCGAUAUUGCGCAUACAGAUCAAUUAUCUUUCAUUGUGCAAUAUGUAAAAGAAGAUGGUCAACUAAUAGAAAGAUUUUUAUGCUUUAUUGAAGAUGUUGGGCAUAAGUCUGAAUAAAUUGUUACUGCUGUCUUUUUAAUUUUUGACAAGUAUAAAUUAGAUCUUAAACAUUUAAGAGGGGAGUCGUAUGAUAAUGCCAGUAAUAUGGCUGGUAUAUAUAAUGGAUUACAAGCAAGAAUUAAAAAAUCGAGUCAACAUGCACAAUUUGUUCCUUGUUCGGCACAUUAACUUAAUUUAGUUGGCAUAAAUGCUGCUAGUUGUUGCCAAAAUGCGGUAUAUUUUUUUGACUUGCUUCAAAAAUUAUACAUAUUCUUUACAUCUUCAACUCAUUGCUGGAAAAUUUUAAAUUUGAAUGUAAAAAGUUUAUCAGAAACAAGAUGGUCAGCUCGCGAUGAUGCUUGUAAAGCACUAAAUAAAAAUAGAGAAUUCAUCAUAAAUGCUUUAGAAAAAAAUUGAUCAAGAUGUUACAGAAAAGCCAGUUACCCGUUGUGAAGCCAAAGGUAUUAUUAAAAAAAUUAAUACCUUAGAAAUAUCAUUACUUUCAUUAUUUUGAGGUGAUAUUCCUAGUAUGUUAGAUUUAAUAAAUGUAGUAGAAAUCUAAAAUCAAUUGAAAUUAAAUUUGGGUACAGUCAUAGAAAUUUAUUAGUCAUUAAUUACUUAUGUAAAUGACCUCCGUACAGAUGAAGAAUACAAACAUUAUUCAGAUCUGGCAAUUUCAAUUUCAUCUGAAAAUUAGAAGUCCGAGAACAAGCAAAAUGUCUUCAAGAUUUAUAUGUAGAUGAUUUAAGAAGUUAUUUUCCCAAUGAAUGUGUUCACUUUAAAUCGCAUAAAAAGAACCUUGAAGUUGAUGAAACACCAAAAAGUAUUCAGCAAAUGCUUGUUUUUAUAAAAAAUAAUGAUUUUUCUGAAAUGUAUCCUUAUAUUGUUAUUGCGUUAAGAAUGUUUUUAUGUACACCAUGUACCAACUAUUUCACUGAACGGUCUUUUUCAGCUUUAAAAAGGGUUAAAUCAUAUAUAAGAAAAAUAUAAAAAAAGGAAAGACUAAAUGCAUUGGCAAUCCUAAAUAUUGAUAAUGACCUUACCACUAAACUGAAUUAUAACAAUGUUAUUAAUAUUUUUGCUGCUAAGCAAGCACGCAGAAAAUUGUAAAUUUAUAUUAUUUUAAA